GAAAGUAAGCAAGGGCGCAUGGCGGAUGCCUUGGCUCUCGGAGGCGAUGAAGGACGUGAUAAGCUGCGAUAAGCUUCGGGUAGGUGCAAAUAACCUUUGAUCCGGAGAUUUCCGAAUGGGACAACCCGAUUGGUUGAAGACCAAUCAUCCAACGUUGUUGGAGGCUAACGCAGGGAACUGAAACAUCUUAGUACCUGCAGGAAAAGAAAAUAAUAAUGAUUCCCCCAGUAGUGGCGAGCGAACGGGGAAUAGCCCAAACCGGUUAUGUUACGGCAUGACCGGGGUAGUAGGACUACGGCAUUGCAUGAAAACAGCAGAGAAGAACUUUCUGGAAAGAAAGACCAUAGAGCAUGAUAGUUGCGUAUUCGAAUGUUGUCGAAGCAUAGUAGUAUCCUGAGUAGCGCGGAGCACGAGGAAUUCUGCGUGAAUCAGCCGGGACCAUCCGGUAAGGCUAAAUACUCCCGAGAGACCGAUAGUGAACCAGUACCGUGAGGGAAAGGUGAAAAGCACUUCGAACAGAAGAGUGAAAUAGUUCCUGAAACCGUGCGCCUACAAGCGGUCGGAGCAGCGUAAGCUGUGACGGCGUGCCUUUUGCAUAAUGAACCUACGAGUUACCGUUGCCGGCAAGGUUAAGGGUCAUGAGACCUGUAGCCGAAGCGAAAGCGAGUCUGAACAGGGCGUAUAGUCGGUAGUGGUAGACGCGAAACCAAGUGAUCUACCCUUGAGCAGGUUGAAGUCCGGGUAACACCGGAUGGAGGACCGAACCAAUAAGCGUUGAAAAGCUUCUGGAUGACUUGAGGGUAGGGGUGAAAGGCUAAUCAAACUUGGAGAUAGCUCGUACUCCCCGAAAUGCAUUUAGGUGCAGCCUUGACCAUUACUAAUGUGAGGUAGAGCGACUGAUAAGAUGCGAGGGCUUCACCGCCUAUCAAGUCUUGAUAAACUCCGAAUGCGCAUUAGUUUGAGGUCAGGAGUGAGGGCAUGGGUGCUAAGGUCCGUGCCCGAGAGGAGAAGAAUCCGGACCACCUGCUAAGGUCCCGAAAUAACAGCUAAGUUAAACUAACGAAGUCAGAUUGCUAAGACAGCUAGGAUGUUGGCUUGGAAGCAGCCAUUCAUUUAAAGAGUGCGUAACAGCUCACUAGUCGAGGAGUUUGGCGUGGAUAAUAAUCGGGCAUUAAGUAUUCUACCGAAGCUUUGGGAUGUGUAAACAUCGGUAGGGGAGCAUUCCACUCAGCGUUGAAGGCGAGGCGUGAGCCUUGCUGGAGCGUGUGGAAAAGCAAAUGUAGGUAUAAGUAACGAUAAAGGGGGUGAGAAACCCCCUCGCCGAAAGACUAAGGUUUCCUGAUCAACGCUAAUCGGAUCAGGGUCAGUCGGGUCCUAAGGCUCAGCCGAACGGCGAGGCCGAUGGCAGAACCGGUUAAUAUUCCGGUACUACCCUUUGGGGUGACGUGGAGACGCAGUCGUGACAAUGCCGCCAGCUGACGGAAUAGCUGGUUAAAGGGUGUAGAAGUUGAUUGUGGCAGGCAAAUCCACCACAAGAUUCGAACCUGACAGUAUGGAGCGUCCUUCCGGACAAUCCAACAGUGCAUGUAAUCAUACUGCCAAGAAAAUCCGCUAAACAUAACCUUCAGGGUACCCGUACCGCAAACGGACACACGUAGUCGGGUUGAAUAUACUAAGGCGCUUGAGUGAUUCACGGUUAAGGAACUAGGCAAAUUAACCCUGUAACUUCGGGAAAAAGGGUCCCUACCCGUUAUCGGGAGGGCGCAGAGAAUCGGUCCAGGCAACUGUUUAACAAAAACACAGGGCUGUGCGAAGUCGAAAGACGCUGUAUACAGCCUGACACCUGCCCGGUGCUGGAAGGUUAAGAGGAGAUGUCAUCGCAAGAGAAGCAUUGAAUUGAAGCCCCAGUAAACGGCGGCCGUAACUAUAACGGUCCUAAGGUAGCGAAAUUCCUUGUCGGGUAAGUUCCGACCUGCACGAAUGGUGUAAUGAUCUGGACACUGUCUCAACCGUGAGCUCAGUGAAAUUGUAGUAUCGGUGAAGAUGCCGAUUACCCGCGAUGGGACGAAAAGACCCCGUGAACCUUUACUAUAGCUUAUCAUUGAAUCUGGGCACGUGAUGUGUAGGAUAGGUCGGAGGCUUUGAAGCAGGUACGCCAGUAUUUGUGGAGCCGCUGUUGAAAUACGACCCUUCAUUUGUUUGAGUUCUAACUCGUAAUACGAGGACACUGAUUGGUGGGUAGUUUGACUGGGGUGGUCGCCUCCAAAAGUGUAACGGAGGCUUCUAAAGGUGCCCUCAGACCGAUUGGUAACCGGUCUCAGAGUGUAAUGGCAUAAGGGCGCUUGACUGGGAGACUAACAAGUCGAGCAGGUAGGAAACUAGAGCAUAGUGAUCCGGUGUUUCCGCAUGGAAGGGACAUCGCUCAAAGGAUAAAAGGUACUCCGGGGAUAACAGGCUGAUCCCUCCCA
This 2468-nucleotide ribosomal RNA is filed under the name human gut metagenome. Its description in RNAcentral is "bacterial LSU rRNA". It matches the Rfam family "Bacterial large subunit ribosomal RNA", at positions 1 to 2494 of the family's 2925-position model. The record is from RNAcentral.